AGAAUCAACGCUGGCGGCGUGCCUAACACAUGCAAGUCGAACGAGAAAGUGGAGCAAUCCAUGAGUAAAGUGGCGCACGGGUGAGUAACACGUGACUAACCUACCCUUGAGUGGGGAAUAACCUAGGGAAACCUGGGCUAAUACCGCAUAACACCUACGGGUCAAAGGGGCAAUUCGCUUAAGGAGGGGGUCGCGGCAGAUUAGCUAGUUGGCGGGGUAAUGGCCCACCAAGGCAGUGAUCUGUA
This 245-nucleotide ribosomal RNA is filed under the name uncultured bacterium. Its description in RNAcentral is "partial small subunit ribosomal RNA". It matches the Rfam family "Bacterial small subunit ribosomal RNA", at positions 26 to 285 of the family's 1533-position model. The record is from RNAcentral.